AUGAGCAUCGUGACUAGUUGGCCCACAGAGGAGCAAAGGGAAGACUUUGAUUUUGCAAAUCCCACAAGCAUGACAUACUUAAAAAAAUAUAGGGAAGACUUGCUCCAAGCUAUUAAGCUCUGUUGUUCAAAGCCUAAUGCACUGGCAAGAUUUGACAAACUCAUGCAAAAUAAAAGGGAACAUCCAACUUCAUUUAUAGAUCAUCUCUCUGAAAUGGCUGAAUCAAUUAUGGGUUUAGAGGCAAAUACUGAUGAAUCUACUAAUCAUAAGGAAGAAGGAGAAAAGAAGACAAAGAAGAAGAAAAAGAAGAAGAAGAAAAGAAGAAGGAAAAAGAAGAAGAAGAAGAAGAAGAAGAAGAAGAAGAAGAAGAAGAAGAAGAAGGUGUUAUAUUUUGUUCUGCCUUCAUACUCUAUCAGUUCUUUUUCUGAAGGCAGAUAACAUUUUUAUCAUGAGUCUCUGGAUCAUUAUAUUGCAUAGAAUAAGGAGGUCAUUCACAGUUGUUCAUCAAAAAGUAUUGUUUUUAUUAUGUACAAUGUUCUCUUUUCUAUUCAUUUUGCAUCAGUUCAUCUAAGUAUUUCCAAGUUUUUUCUUUAUGAAAUAAUCUUGCUUGUCAUUUCUUAUGGCAUAAUAGUAUUCUAUUAUAAUCAUAUCCCACAACUUAUUCACCUAUUCUCCAUUUUCCUCAUUUUCCAAUUCUUUGCUACCACAUAGAGAGCUGCGAUAACUAUUUUUGUAUAAAUAGGUCCUUUUCUCUCUUUUUAAAACAUCUUUGGGAUACAUAUAUAGAAAUGUCUAUAUCAAAGGGUAUGUAUAGUUUUAGAGCCCUUUGGGCAUAGUUUCAAAUUGUACUUAAGAAUGAUUGGAUCAUAAGAAAUGAUGAAUAGAAUGUUUUCAGAAAGAGCUGGAAAGACCUAUCUGAACUGAUAAAGAAUAAAAAAAUCAGAACUAGGAGAACA
RNAcentral lists this long non-coding RNA (956 nucleotides) under Monodelphis domestica (gray short-tailed opossum). Its description in RNAcentral is "lncRNA (ENSMODG00000033818.2)". Lineage: Eukaryota; Metazoa; Chordata; Mammalia; Didelphimorphia; Didelphidae. The record is from RNAcentral.